CUGUGAUUUUAAAUUUAACGGCCGCGGUAUUUUGACCGUGCAAAGGUAGCGCAAUCACUUGUCUUUUAAAUAAAGACCCGUAUGAAUGGCAUAACGAGGGCUUAACUGUCUCCCUUUUCCGGUCAAUGAAAUUGAUCCCCCCGUGCAGAAGCGGGGAUAAAAACAUAAGACGAGAAGACCCUGUGGAGCUUUAAACGCCAAAACAGGCCCUGUUAAGUAACCUUUUCUUAAAAGCUAAAACCAAUCGGACUCUGUUUUGCUGUUUUUGGUUGGGGCGACCGCGGGGUAAUGACUAACCCCCACGUAGAAUGAGAGUAUUCCCUCUUUAAACAAAGACCCACACUUCUAAAUUACAGAACUUCUGACUAACCAUGAUCCGGUAAAACCGAUCAGCGAACCGAGUUACCCCAGGGAUAACAGCGCAAUCCUCUUUAAGAGCCCAUAUCGACAAGAGGGUUUACGACCUCGAUGUUGGAUCAGGACCUCCUAAUGGUGCAGCCGCUAUAAAGGGUUCGUUUGUUCAACGAUUAAAGU
RNAcentral lists this ribosomal RNA (534 nucleotides) under Cristiceps aurantiacus (golden weedfish). RNAcentral's name for it is "partial 16S ribosomal RNA". It matches the Rfam family "Bacterial large subunit ribosomal RNA", at positions 1905 to 2594 of the family's 2925-position model. The record is from RNAcentral. Lineage: Eukaryota; Metazoa; Chordata; Actinopteri; Blenniiformes; Clinidae.